GCAAGCUCCUCGGACACUUCCUUCAUGGAUGGGCGGUUUACUCCUAUGCUAUUCAGGCAUCUUUUAGCAAGCUCAGCAACAGCUUCGAUCUCAUCCAUCUCAGCUUCAUCAGCAGCUUGAAAAUCCAAAAUUCCAAAAAGAUCAUUAUUUUCCAAUGCUGAGUUGAAGUACUGAAUAAAGUUCCGUUUAUUUCCUGAUUUGGCAUUUGAGUUUGGCUUCUCUCCAGUGAGAAGCUCCACAAGAACUACCCCAAAGCUAUACACAUCACUUUUUUCUGUUAAAUUACCCGUCAGAAGAUACUCUGGAUCCAGGUAGCCGAAAGUUCCUUGUAUUUUGGUGGCUAGAAUAUUGGUCUGGCCUGGAGAAAUAAGCACCGAAGCUCCAAAAUCUGCUACCUUUGCCGUGUAAUUAUCGUCUAAUAGAAUGUUCACCGACUUGACAUCCCCGUGAAUAACUGGAGGGUCUGCUAGAGAGUGCAAAUAAUCAAGCGCAAGAGCAGCCUCCGAUGCAAUCCUCAGACGAUUGCUCCAGGAAGCCAAUACCUGUGACCUUUUGUCAUGGAUGUGCUUGAAAAGGGUUCCAUUUGAGAUGAACUCGUAAACUAGUAAUGGCACUUUGGUCUCCAAGAACAGGCCCAGGAGUUUUACCACGUUCUUGUGGUUGACCUGUGAAACGACGCAGAUUUCAUGUUGGAAAUCCUCGUUCAUCUGAGCUUUGUCCACCCCCUUGGACUUCUUGACAGCAACUACUGUAUUGUCUGCUAAAAUUCCUUUGUAAACUGAACCGAAACCACCUUCCCCGAUUUUUUUAUCAUCGUCAUAAUUGUUGGUUGCUUUUGUCAGCUCUGCCUCACUGAAAAUCCUUACUCUUUGAUGCUUUAAAACCGUUCCCCCAUUUUCUCUGAAGUUCUUGUCCUUUCUUCUUUUACUCAAGAUCAUGAAGAGCAAUAGACAAAUAAUCACCAGGGAAACUAUUGCGCCUACGACUGCAUACAGAAAAUCAAUGGAAAACAAAUGAAUCUCUUGAACAGAAACGUUUCCAUGCCAUAUUUAGUGGCUAUGCUAAUCUCAUGUGUUGAGAGGGAGGAAUAAAGGAUGUAUGCAAAGCAGAAUCCAAUAGCAGGAGCUUAUUGGUUCUCCGAGUACUAAAGAUGUAGCUCUGGAAGCAGUCAAAGAGAGCAAUAGCAACCACUGGUAUAGAAGAAAAAUGCAAAGGACAUUUACCUGCUAUAAUGGUAGUGAUAGCAAAUCCUUGACAACCUAUUUUGCCAUCACCAUGCAUGCCAAGAGAACAUUUACAUUCGUAAUCUCCAAUGGUGUUGUGGCAUUUACCAUGACAUGUGUAUUUCUUGGGAUCCUUGCACUCAUCAAUAUCUGCAAACAUAACAAAUUAUGAGUUUACCUUAAUUCAAUACAAUUUAGUCUACACGAAUACAAAUUCUAGAAAAAAUCUGGCAGGUCUACGCAUUUAGAAGUUGUUUUGUUUUAUCAAUAUCUGAGAAUGAACAAUCUUUUAAUUUCAAUUACGUAACUACUGAAGGCAUCUGUCGCUUUACCUUGGCACCCUUGUUCAAGAUAUGGGUUUCCUUCGAAUCCUGCAUUGCAUGCGCAACGAUAUCCUUGACCAUUAUCGGAGUAAUAGCAAUUUGUAUUGAUGCCACAAGCAUAUGAACUCUUAUUGGCCUGAGCCUUUUCGCAUUUCUCGGUUUGAGCUACCCAUUCGAUCACAACAUUUGAUGUUUCAAAAUCUGUUGGAGUUCGAGAGAGUGGCCAAUCCGACAGGUCAAGGGAGUCUUUGUCCUCAAGGAAAGCAAAGCCACAAGGGUUAAAUUCGGAAACAUUCUUGUGGUUGUCAGUGCUCUGAAUGGUAAUAUUCAGAGACUUGAGACCCUUUGGAAUCGAGGUCUGGCAGCAUCCAGAACCUGAGCAGGAAUUAUUCUUUGACAUGGUAACAUUUCUAGUGCAUAAAGAGAGACAAGCAGCCCCGAAUGUCACCUCCUCGUUGGUCACCGUGGCAACGGUAUCACAACCAACUGCUGUGAACAUAUUUCGAGAGUCUGAAAAUGUGAAGGGGCCUGAUCCAAGUAUCAUAUACGAGUUGAAAAGCCUGUCCUGCAGCCCUGAUUUGUGAUAGCAAUCGAACGAUAUAUAAACGCCUGCAGUGACUGUGCCAUUCAGCAAUGAUAUAUUGCGAGCAGGCAUGUUCUCUCCAAACCACAGUUCAUGAUGACCAUCAUCAGUGGAAUUGCAAUCUAGAAAGAAGUUUUCAUUCAUGGCACAUCUUCGUUCCCCGAUCCCAAACGGGUAAGGAACAAUAACAUCCCCACACCUUUCUUGGCAGCCAUCUCUCACAUCUGGAUUUGCUGUUGUUGCAGCCACUAGUAGCAACAUCAUCAGCAAAAACACCCACCUCUGAAGUAUCAUUUUCUAUACACCACCACCCAACUUAAUAUAUGUAUACAAAGAAGCUCCAAACCAACUCUCUCCCGCUAACUUUUAAUUGUGCAACUUCAUAAUUUCCUGGUAGACAAUAUAUAGCUAAGAGAGACUGACAGAAAACACUCAUCAUAUGACCAAUUCUGAGAUGAUCAGGUCAACGAAUCUAUUCUUUCUGUAAUGAGGCCCAGUAAUGAAUCAUGAAGACUAAAAUAAAUGAUGCGAAAGAAACCAAUAGGAGAAACAGUCAGGGAAAAGAAAAGUCCCUCCAUAGAAUACAGUAUACCCCACACAGGCAGCCAUAUUGGAAUAUUUUCUCGUUUCUGCAAGCUAAGGUAUUAUAAUCCAGUUACGGUUUAAAAAGUUAACAGUAGUAAUUGAUUUUUUUGUUUUAUUUUUUUUAGAUUUAUAUAUUUUUUUAUUCAAUUAAUUUAUUCUCAUUUAAUUUUUAUUUUGUUAAAAAAUAAGAUUAUUGAGACGUUUUGAAAAUAUCAUAAAGAUAUAUUUUUAUAAUAUUGACAAACAUUCAUCGAUAUCUUUUACAAAUAAUUAUUGUUUUUUUUCCCGUUUUAUUUGUUGUUGAUAUCUUAUUUUUUAAUGAUAUUAUUAAAUUAAUCAAGUUUACUAAAUUCAUUUGAAUCAAUUUCCUGAACGUUAUAUUUUUAAUUUUUUUAAGAUAUAUUUAACUUUUUUUAAUAUUUUUUGUGCGAUAAAAAAAGAGUUAGCAUGUGACAUAGCACAGACCAUUGAACCAGUGCUACCUAGAAGUGGUCAAGCAUUGUACCAAGUAUCCAUUUGUGUUUUUUGUUUUAAAGUGUUUUUGAAAAAAAUAAAAAAAUUAUUUUUAUUUUAAAUUAAUUUUUUAGUAUUUAAUUUUAGAUCGUUUUGAUGUAUUAAUAUUAAAAAUAAAAUUUAAAAAAUAAAAAAUAUUUUAAAUUUUUUUUAAGUGCAAAGUAAUUUAAAAAACAUAUGUUAACACACUGCUAAAUGUGAAGUGAAUCACUGGCACCAAAAUUACUAAAUGAUAUCUUUAAUUAUCUCAGGAGUGGAAAAGAUUUAACAUGGACAUGGGAGCUUUGGCAGCACCUUUCCCAGGUCAUUUUCAGCCCAUGAUAUGCCUACAAAUCUUGAAAUCUGAAUUAAUGAAAUCCCCUCUUAAAUAUAUUAUAAUACCUGAAAUGUAAUUAAUAAUUUGUAACAAGAAACAGAACUAUUUCUGUUAAAAAUACCAUUAUUAUUAUUAUUAUUAUUAUUAUUAUUAUUAUUAUUAUUAUUAUUAUCACUAAUCAUUUCUUCAUUGUUGUUUUGCUGCUGCUGUUGUUAUUAUUGAUGUAAUAAAUUAGUGAAUUAAUUAGGAGAGUAUCUUAAUGAUUAGUAGGUUAAUUAAUACAAACUCAAAGGGUACUAGUUUUUCAAUUAUUAUUUUUAAUUGUGUUACUUUGAUGAUUUUUUUAUUUACUGUGUUAAAAAAAACCCCUCUUGGUUCAGGUACUCUUCUUUCUGUGAUGCUCUUACUCCGACCUCUCAACUUCUUCGUUGGUAUCUUAUGGUGACCACAUCCGCUGGCAUGUGAGUGGUGUAGACCGACGUCUGUGGCCCCAAUUCUUUUGGAAAAUUCAGUCUUUCUUGUAUUAUUUUAUUUAAUCCUAUUGGAAAAUAUCCCAUCCUAAGUCAAUAGACAAUGAGGCCUGAAGACUAAAACAAAUGUUGUGAAGGAAACUAUAUAUAUAUAUAUAUAUAUAUAUAUAUAUAUAUAUAUAUAUAUAUAUAUAUAUAUAGGAGAAACAGACAAUGAAAAGAAAACUCCAUCCUCAUAAUACAGUUCUAUCGGGGGAUACCCCACCACAGAGACAGCCAUUUUGGAAUAUUUUAUUCUUUAGGUUCCCUUUUCCUCAAGGUAUGUUGUAGAUCUCAUUGGAAGAUUUACUCUUUGAAAAUGAACAUAAAGCGUGUUAGUUUUCUUCUUCACAAAGCGUUUUUAAAGGUUUUUGAAUUCUUUUUCUUUAAAUUCUUUUUUUUUAUAUAUAUUUUAAUCGUUUUGAAACUGCAGCGUUUCCAAACAAGCCCUCGCAGUCUUUACUCAAAAGGGAUGUUUAACAACUAUGCUUGAAACAAAGCAGAUGCAUACAAUUUCUUCUUUCAAGAUUCUUUUCCUUUUUUAUUACAUGCGAGUAAUUCGUAGAAGAUGAUCAUACACUGUCAAACACUCAAGACUUUCCUUAACCUCAAGUAAGUACUGAACACCUUUUCUACGUAUAGGUGAGAGUUUGUCGAGUUCAACUAGAAUACAGAGUAUGAUUAAUUCGAGGAAAUCCCGGUCUCGAAUAUUUAAUUGAUGGUAAAUGUUUUUGAUGUUUUUUCAUUAACAAGAAGAUUUUAAAUAUAAUUGGGAAUAACAACUGACCGAAUUACCAGCACUCAAAUCAUAAAAAUAACAUAACUACUUAUGCUGAUAUUCACCUAACAACCCAAGCUGAAGACCUAUUCUUAAGCUAAAAUACUUGGCUGUAAAUCAACAAAUUAAGAACAAGUCUUAACCUGAUACCAUGUAUAAUUAUUGGACUCAACAUCAAACUUAACUGCACUCUAGACUUAACUAAAUUAAAUAAUAAGAAAUAAAUAUCUCAUUAGGAUAAUUCUUUUGGAAAAUUCAGUCUUUCUUGUAUUAUUUUAUUUAAUCCUAUUGGAAAAUAUCCCAUCCUAAGUCAUUAGACAAUGAGGCCUGAAGACUAAAACAAAUGUUGUGAAGGAAACUAUAUAUAGGAGAAACUGACAUCUGUGGUUCCAUGAGACCACUUCUUUUUAAAAAUUCUGUCUUUCUUUUAUUUAUUUAUAUUCCUAUUGAAAAAUAUCCCAUCGUAAGUCAUUUGUCAAAGAGGCCCCAGUGCUCAAUCAUGGAGACUAUAAUAAAUGUUGUGAAGGAAACUAUAUAUAGGAGAAACAGACAAUAAAAAGAAAACUCCAUCCUGAGAAUACAGUUCUAUCGGGAUACCCCACCACAGAGGCAGCCAUUUUGGAAUAUUUUAUUCUUUCUGCAAGCCAGGUUCCCUUUUCCUCAAAUACAAAUGGCAAUGUUUUCUCUUUGGAAAAUUUUACUUCUGAGAACUAACAAAGUGUGUUUGUUUACUUUUGAGAACGAACGAAAAUUUUACUUUUAAAGCAUUUUUUAUUUUUUUAAUAAAUUAUUUUUACGACCAACAAGCUCUUCACCCAGACUCUACAGUCUGGUGACAUGUUCAUGUUCCCUAAGGGUCUUGUCCACUUCCAAUACAACGCGGAUUCUCAGAAUUCAGCUCUCGCAAUCUCUGCUUCCGGAAGUGCUAGUGCAGGGACCGUAUCACUUCCUACCACCCUUUUCGCCACCAGCAUUGACGAUAACAUCUUGGCCAAGGUCUUCAAGACUGAUGUUGCCACCGUUCAAGCUCUCAAGGCUGGUCUUACGCCUUGAGGAUGGGCUCCAUAAUUACCAUUCUUUACUUGUUAUUCUUCUUAUGUUUUACUUUCCCCCUACUCUCUCUUUCAAUCUGCUGAUGAUUUGUAUUGAAUAAUCGCCCCCAAUAGCCUAACAGGCCGGUGCAUAAAUUGUUCGUUUGUUCUUUGCUCAAUCACAUUGCUAGCGUCUAUCUACCAUAUAUAUCAAACUACUCAUAGUUAUUGCACUCGAUCGAUUGAAAAUUCUAUUAUCGUGUCAUUUUGUAUUUUUAUUUCUUUUUUAGACAGAUGAAGAAUACUGAUCGAUGUUUGUAACGAUCUAUCAUUUAAAUCAAACUAAUGACUACAAAAACAAUAACAUUGUAAUGUUCAUCGAUUGUUAUUAUCAAUAGCCUGCUGUAUACGUGCAUGCAUGGUUGCCUCUCUGUUACUUUCUCCUCUCUCUCUCUCUCUCUGCAUAUAUAAAUCUUCCAAAACCUGAGCACAUCAUCAGAAAUACCAUGUCCAACGUCUUUACACUACUAGAAAUUCAUCUAAAACCAAUAAAAUUCCUAAUAGAAUAAUUUUAUCAGUAAAUUGUGAUGAUAAUUAUCGAAGGAAUAUUUUUUAGUUUUUUUCUUGGCCGUUUUAUUUCUUUGCAAUUUAUUUCUUUAAUUAUAAUUGGUCAUUUUUUUUAAUUUGAUAGUUAUUCUUUUAAUUUUUAAUUUUUUUCAUUGGCUUUUUUAUAAAAGUUUUAUUAGUUUUCAAUUUUAUCUUUCCAUCAAAGUUUAUGAUGUGUUAUUUUUUUAAAAAAAUUGGUUCUCAUUCUUUUAUUUUUUUGUUGGAGGUAUUUUUCUUUUAAAUUUAACCCUCCAUUCAAAAACUUUUAAUUGCCCUCUAAUUUAUUUUUUAUUUUAAUUUUCAUUAUCAUUCUUUUAAUUACUAUUUUUUAUUUUAGAUUCUUUUGUGUUGUUAAUUUUUACCCUCUGUUUUAUUCUUCAACGUUUAAUUAAUUUGUUAGGGAUUAUGCUUCACCAUUUUUUCAUGCAUGAUGCUUCUAGUUUAAUAACCCAGAGUACAUAUUUGAAAAGUUGAUGUUGGUUGAUAUAUUUUUUUUACUUAUUUCUUUUUCAAUUCCAUCAUUUAGCAUUAGUGUUUUUUUUUUUUAAGAAUUCACCAUGUUGUUUUCUUUGAUUUUUUUCUAUAGAAUUAUCCCGAUCUCAUAACAUGAAUCAUGAAUUUUGCGUCACACCACAUGUUGACUUGCCCUUUAUUAUUUAUUUCAUCAUCAUUCAGCAUUAGUGUUUAUUUUCAAGAAUUGACUUUGUUGUUUUCUUUGAUUUUUUUAUAUAAAAUUAUUCCGAUCUCAUUACCUGAGUUAUGAGUUUUGCAGCACACCAGAGUUUGGCUCGCCCUUUAUUAUCUAUAUUACAUAUUUAUUGCAAUAUCUCUAGUUGAAUUAGAUUUUUAUCCUUUUUUAUCUAAUUUUGCAGCUCUAUGAAUUUUUUCACAUGGUUUCAUGUUUUUUAUUUAAGAAUUGUUUGUUUGUAGUUGUUGCAUAUUCUUUUAUCAUCUAAUUAAAUUUAAACCAACUUAAAAGAAUGAACAUAACUUUAACUUCAACAGGACCAUCCGGCCACCAUAGGGUAUUUGCCAUAACAGAAACAGAGGAGAGCUUGGGACUUUUACCCAUAAAUUAGCCUACAAGACAAUAAUCCCAGCCUUUGAUUCCAUUAGCAACAAUCUGAGGAGGGACUGUAACAAACCAGUUUCCGUUCUCCUUCAGUGGAUGACCCAGAAACUCAAGCAUUCAAAGAUGUCCCUUCUAGGCACACCAAGAUCACUCCAUUUCUUCUUGUGAUUUGCUAUAUUUUCCCGAGGGGAGAAGAGAAAUAAUAAGAUUAAGGAGAACGUGAGCAAGAUUUAUAUAGAAGAAAAAACAGUGACAACGAUGGCUUAAAGCAUUUUCGCAAAAACAAAUACCGAAACAAAUGGUCUUAAGUUUAUCCAAGAACAUUAGGAAAAAAGAAAAAGGAAAAACUUACAGAGUCGAGACACGUUUCUUAUUAAUGGAUCACCAAGUCUUGAAAGGGACCAAAGGUUCGACGUCAGAUGAUGAUAGAGCCUGAUCAACUUGAAAACUGCUGCAAGUAAUUGAUGUAGAAGCAUCAUCCCACGCACUGACUACUUCAGCCGUGAUGCUCUCAGCUUCUUCGUUAUUUUGUUGAACGUUCUUCUUUUGUGACAAUUGAAUGAUCCUCUCCAACUCUGAUGUGACUUGUUUCAUUGUCGGUCGCUUUUUUCCAUUCAAAUUCAAGCAUCUCAUUGCAAUAUUAGCUACACAGAUGACAUCCUCCUUGGGGCAGUGCUCCUUAAUUUGAGCAUCAACAAUAUCUAAAAUUCUGUUCUCUUCCAUCAAAAGAACAAAAUGUGCAGCCAAGUUUUUGCGUUCUUGUGACUCGUUUGUAAGAAUUGCUUUUUGUCCAGUUAAGAGCUCAGCAAGAACUACUCCAAAACUAUAAACAUCACUCUUAUCUGUAUACUGACUGGACCAAAAGUAUUCUGGGUCCAAGUAACCAUAGGUGCCUUGCACACUAGUCGUCAAAUGAGUUUGAUAAACGGAGAGUGAUCUUGAAGUCCCGAAAUCAGCAAUCUUUGCUCGAUACUUGUGAUCUAAGAGUAUGUUGGUGGACUUUAUAUCUCGAUGAUAAAUUGGAAUGGAAGCUGCUGAGUGAAGAUAGCAAAGUGCUCCGGCAGUUUCAGCAGCAAUCUGUAAUCUCAUUUCCCAUGAUAAAGGGAACUCCUCGUUUUGGCGAAGGAGAUACUCGGAAAGAGUUCCAUUAGGAAUAAAUUCAUAAACUAAAAGAGGAACUUCUGCCUCCAAACAGCAACCAAGUAGCCUGACUAUAUUUCUUUGGUUGAUUUGUGAAAGAAUACAGACCUCGUUGAUGAAUCCUUCAAGGUUUUCUUCACCCACCAUUGUGGACCUUUUGACCGCAACAAUUACUCCAUCUGCUAGCAUCCCUUUGUACACGGUACCUUGGCCACCUUGACCAAGUAUCCUAUUCACAUUGAAACCAUCUGUGGCAGUUUCCAACUCCUCUGAGCUAAAUACUUUGGUUUUGGAAAUACCACCUUGAUCACUUGAGGAUAAAUGUUGCUGUAACAGUAGACCACCAUUCUGUCUGAAAAACUUCUGUUUCAGUUUGAUGCUCUUCCUUUUCUCCAUGGUUUUGUAUAGCCACCAGCUACCACUAACCAGUAACAACACUCCAACAACUCCAACAACAGCUGCAUUUCUCAAAAAAAAAUUAAAAAAUAAUAAUUUCAUGAUUGAUCAUUAUUUAAUGUUCAUAUUAAGAGUCCAUUUUGGGAAUGCAGUAGUAUAUGCGUUCUCAAAAUCAGAAGCAACAAAAGUAUAUUUGGAAAUGUAGUACUCUAUAUGCGUUCUCAAAAUCAGAAGCGACAAAAGUAUAUUAGAGUUUUACUGUGUUCCCAAAACGGUCUCUAAAUCUAGUAAGAUAAAUAGCUCAAUCUAAAAGUAUAUUUUCAUUAAUUAUAAAAAAUCUAUAAGUCAUAAUAUAAUAGAUAUGAAUAUCUAAUUAUAUACCGAUUGAGUCAUUAAUCAUUAUUAUAUUGCAAACAAAAGUUAAUCGAUGAGCAGUAUUGAAAUUUUCUUAUUUCUAUAACAUUUUCAAAAAUUAUAAUUUUUUUAAUUUCUAAAGCUUUAUACAAAAUUUUAAAUGGUUGAGCAUCUUCAAAUAGGUUUUGUCAUAGUUUUUCGAGGCAAAAAAAUUAUUCCUUUAAAGUUUUAAAAAAUUUAAAUUUAUUUUAAGAAAUUUAUUUUUUAUGUUUCAUGAGAUUUUCAAGAAAGAAAAGGAUGAUCCACUUUUAUUUAUUUAUUUAUUUUAUCCUAUGAGAGAAUAACUUGUCAUUAAAUAUUGACUUUGAGUGGCAUAUGCAACAAAGCAUUGGCGAGAGAAGGGGCUAUCACUUUUCAAUUAUUUUCAAAUAAAAUUCUAUGAUAGAUUUUCAUAUUUUGAAUAUUUUUUAAAAUAAAAAAUAAACCAGUUUUUCGAUUCGUCUAAUUUUGUAAUUGAACUGAAAUUAAACUGAAUUAUAAAACCUAGCAAAGUGAAUUAGAUGAACAAAACUAACAUAGCUAGUUUUGGCGUCGAUUUUCAUGGUGUCGAGGAGAGUGGCACAGCUGGUCACGGUGCUGCUGCUAGAAAUUGCGAGGAGAUCAGGUGGUUGGUUUUUCGGAGGAGUUCGGGUGUUUUGUGAGGCUACUGCUGUCAGGAUGAAAGGAGGAAGAAGGAGACAGUCCAUCUGUGGAUUUCCAGCUGGAGUUGGCGUGGAUUUGAUGGUUUGGAGGAAGAGUGGCGCGGAUGGUUCGUCUGGCUAUGGUGGCUGGGAUGGUGGAUCUGUGGCGGCUGGUAUCUGGUGGAGAGAGAAGUGGGGAAUGGUAGUUUUGUAUUUUUAUCUUUAGGGUUGUUUUAUUAGGGGUCAUUUUAUUUCGUAGCUAUACAGUGUUGGCAAGUCUUAUAACAUUAUUUUAUUAUUUAUUUUAAAAUAUAUUAAAAUAAUAUUUUUUAUUUUUUAAAAUUAUUUUUAAUAUUAAUAUAUUAAAACAAUAUAAAAAUAUAAAAAAUAAUUUUUUAAAAAUAUAAAAUUUUAAAAAACACAAUUUCAAAACCAAUCAGCCACUCAAUAUGCUUGCAUAAAUUACAUAUAGGAUAAUUGAAAAACAAGGAAUACGUGCCACUGCCACGUAAGAAGUGGAUGCAUACGAAUGACAUUAAUUACCUGCAAUAAUAAUUGUGAUGAUGCGAAACCCAAGGCAACCUCUCUUGCCAUCACCAUGCAUGCCAAGUGGACAUUUACAUUCGUAAUUCCCAAUGGUGUUAUGGCAUUUACCAUGACAUGGGUAUCUCUUGCCAUCCCUGCACUCAUCGAUAUCUGUGAACAUAACAAAUUACGAAUUUACAUUAAUUCAACACAGUGAAAGUUCUAAGAAGUUCUGAGGAGUUGUUUCGUUUUACCAAAUUAUGAAUUUACUAUAACUGUGGAUUUUGAAGUUGUUUUGUUUCAAGUAUAUCUGAGAAGAGGAAUGAACAGUCUUUUAAUUUCAAUCACUCAACUAGUGAAGGCAUCUGUCACUUUACCUUGGCAUCUGUCACGGGGUUAAAUUUUUCGCAACUAAACUUAACCCAAUGCGGCAGUCUAGCCCCAACUAGACUCAGCCUUGCCUCACCCUUUCACUCGUGUUUUCCUACGACUAUGUGUUUCGCUCACUCAAGGAGGUUCUCACACUCGCCUCGUCGUAGACAACAAAUAAACACAAGCAACACAAGCACACUAGAGUUUUACAAGAAUCCCUCUCAACCUUUAUUUAUCUCGUCAACAAAGGAAUACACAAAAAUGGUGUGUGCUAUGCACAAAUCGCAUGCUACACAGCAGAGGCUUGGCAGCCUAUUUAUAGCCAAAUGUGAGAUUCCAUCCUCACCCAUAAUCCCCUAAUUUCGGGGCAUAGUGGAGCAUUAUCUCCCGCAUGAUCACCCUUUACAUGGACUAGUGGAGCACUACCUUCCCCAUUAUCCUUAGUGGGUUGGUGAAGCACUUUGUCCUCCAUUAUUUGGCCCCUCCACCCAUGAUUCUGCCUGCCCUCAUAGCAGCCCCAAUUGUCUGCCUUGCUGUGUCAGCUGCUGACUUAGAAAGUCCAUUGUCUAAGCCCCACGUCCAUGCCAAGUCGCCAGCUCAAAGAUUUGCACAGACCCUUGCACGCUGCCUGCCGAAUUCGUUUCUGCCGCAGUCCAUCGCUGCCGAAUUCUAGGCAAUGUGCCUUCGUUGGCGCGCCCCGCGCCUAGACUUCUAACAGCAUCCUUUUUCAAGAUAUGGGUUUCCUUAAUUCGAACCCUUCAUUGCAUGCGCAACGAUAUCCUUGACCAUUAUCGGAUUAGUAGCAAUUUGUAUUGAUGCCACAAGCAUAUGAACUCUUAUUGCCCUGAGCAUUUUCGCAUGUCUCGGUUUGAGCUACCCAUUCGAUCACCACAUUUGAUGUUUCCAAAUCUGUUGGAGUACGAGAGAGUGGCCAAUCCGACAGGUCAAGGGAGUCUAUGUCCUCAACGAAAGCAAAGCCACAGGGGUUAAAUUCGGAAACAUCCACGUGGUUGCUAAUGCUCUGAAUGGUAAUAUUCAUAGACUUGAGGCCCUUUGGAAUCGAGGUCUGGCAGCAUCCAGAACCUGAGCAGGAAUUAUUCUUUGACAUGGUAACAUUUCUAGUGCAUAAAGAGAGACAAGCAGACCCGAAUGUCACCUCCUCGUCGGUCACCAUGGCAGUGGUGUCACAACCAACAGCUGUGAACACAUUUCGAGAGUCUGAAAUUGUGAAGGGGCCUGAUCCAAGUGAGAUAAACUGAUUGAAAAUCCGCGACCUCCGCCCUGACUUGUCAUAGCAAUCGAACGAUGCAAAAAUGCCUACAGUGACUGUGCCAUUCAGCAAUGAUAUAUUGCGAGCAGGCAUGUUCUCUCCAAACCACAGUUCAUGAUGACCAUCAUCAGUGGAAGUGCAGUCUAGAAAGAAGUUUUCGUUCAUGGCACAUCUUUGUUCCCCAAUCCCAAACGGGAAAGGAACAAUAACAUCCCCACACCUUUCUUGGCAGCCAGGUUUCACAUCUGGAUUUGCUGUUGCUCCUGUUACUGCAGCCACUAGUAGCAACAUCAUCAGCAAAAACACCCACCUCUGAAGUAUCAUUUUCUAUACACCACCACCCAACUUAAUAUAUGUAUACAAGGAAGCUCCGAACCAACUCUCUCCCGCUAAUUUUUAAUUGUGCAACUUCAUUUCCUGGUAGACAAUAUAUAGCAAAGAGAGACUAACAGAAAACACUCAUCAGAUGACAUAGAUGAUCAGGUCAAUGAAGUCAAUUGCGAGUCAUUUCUUCGAUCUUUCUUUUAUAGCAAUCCAAAAUUAACCCAAAUGUGACGUAAUUAGAUUUAUUGUAUUAAGAUUUCUAUUCUUUCAAGUUCGGAAAAUAUCCCAUCCGAAGUCAUGAGUCAAUGAAUCGUGAAGACUAAAAUGAAUGGUGUGAAAGAAACCAAUAGGAGAAACAGACAGGGAAAAGAAAAGUCCCUCCUGAGAAUACAGUAUACCCCACAAAAGGCAGCCAUAUUGGAAUAUUUUCUUGUUUUUGCAAGCUAAGGUUCCCUUUCCUCAAUAAAAAUGGGCAUGGAAAAUUUACUUCUGAGAAUGAACAUAACUUUAUCAUAGUAAACUUCAACAAGAACAGCCUUUGGGACUUUUACCCAUAAAUUAACCUACAAGACAAUAAUCCCAGACUUUGGCGCCAUUAGCAACAUUUAUGUUUAGUGAUUUCGGUAUUAUAAUCUAGAUUAUAAUUUAAAAAAAUAAUAGUAAUUAAAUUUUUUUUGUUCUAUUAUUUUAAAUUCAUAUUUUUUUAUUAUUUUUCUUUCUAUACAAUUAUCCUAUUCUCAUUUAAUUUUUAUUUUGUUAAGAAAUAAAAUCAUUGAGAUGUUUGGGGAAUAUUAUGAAAAUAUAUUUUCAUAAUAUUAGUAAGCGUUUAUUUUUUGUAUUGAUUUUUUUUUCGUUUUAUUUGUUGUUGGUAUCUUAUUUUUUAAUGAUAUUAUUAAAUUAACCAGGUUUAUUAAACUCAUUUGAGUUAAUUACCUAAACAUUAUAUUUUUUAUUUUUUAAGAAAUAUUUAAUUCUUUUUUAUUUUUUUUAUGCUAUAAAAAAAAUUAACCCUCGGUAUAGCAUAGACCACCUAAUUAGUUGUACCAAGCGUCCAUUUAUUUUUUCUUUCCAUAGUGUUUUUGAAAAAAAUUAAAAAGAUUAUUUUUUAUUUUUCAUUAAGUUUUUAGUAUUUUUAGAUAGUUUUUAUGUGUUAAUGUUAAAAAUAAAAUUUAAAAAAUAAAAAAAUAUUUUAAUAUAUUUUUAAGUAAAAGUAAUUUAAAAAACAUAUGUUAACAGACUGCUAAAUGUGAAGUGUAUCACUGGCACCAAAAUUACUAAAUGAUAUCUUUAAUUAUCUCAGGAGUGGAAAAGAUUUAACAUGGACAUGGGAGCUUUGGCAGCACCUUUCCCAGGUCAUUUUCAGCCCAUGAUAUGCCUACAAAUUUGAAAUCUGAAUUAAUGAAAUCCCCUCUUAAAUAUAUUAUAAUACCUGAAAUGUAAUUAAUAAUUUGUAACAAGAAGAAUAUCAUUAUUAUUAUCACUAAUCAUUUCUUCAUUGUUGUUUUGCUGCUGCUGCUGUUAUCAUUGAUGUAAUUAAUUAGUGAAUUAAUUAGGAGAGUAUCUUAAUGAUUAGUAGGUUAAUUAAUACAAACUCAAAGGGUGCUAGUUUUUCAAUUACUUUUUUAAUUGUGUUACUUUGCUAUCUCUGUUUAGUUUUAGUAUCUUGAUGAUUAAACUUGCUCAAAGCAGCAGCAGCAGCAUUCACAAGAGGGGUUGAAAAAGGCUCUCAUACCUCUUUGAAAAACUGCAGUUCUUCCAUCCUUUCACACUCUCCUCAUCCUCAACGUUUGUGAUAUAUCCCACAGUUUUGCCAACAUUAAAAAAAUUAUUGGAAGCAAUGGUUGUUUAGUCUGAAAUCAAUGCAACAUCAAAAUUUAUAAAGAUUCAGUGUUAAACAAAUAAGAUUCAAGAGGAUGGUUAAAGGGGAGAUAACAUGACGUGACAUGAGGGAGAUGGAGAAGGGAAAGAAAAAGUAUCUUAAACCAAAAUUUAACCCAAAUGUGAUGUAAGAAAAGUCUAGUGGAAUUGGAUAUUUUAAUAAUAAAAUUAUAAAUUAAAGUUGUUUGGACGACAGAAAAGGAAAGGGUUCUUUCCCAGCUAGCUUUUAAGCACUGGUUCAGCUGCUCAUCUUUCUGUGAUGCUCUUACUCCGACCGCUCAACUUCGUCGUUGGCAUCUUGUACUGUUCCCUCCCUGUCUGUCCACCUCUCCGAAGACACUAUCUUGGGUGGUGACCACAUCCUCUGGGAUGUGAUGUUAAUUUGGACAUAGAAUCGAGUCCUUGUGAAUGGGCAGAGCCAGGGAACUGACGUCUGUGGUCCCAUGAGGCCAAUUCUUUUAAAAAUAAAAAAUAAUUAAAAUCUCUAAAGAUUAUUGUUCCAAACAAAUUAUAUGAAAGAUCUAGCAAAAAUAUUUAUAAACUAAUGGAAUAGAUCUAAGCGUAAAAAGAGAUCUGGUUAUGCCAUAUCAGAACAACUGUUCAAAAGAGUUGUAAAUUUUGAUCCGACCAUUGAAUUACACUUAAAAUUUUACAAGAGUUUCUAGGGGCUAUUUUUUUUAUUGUAGCUACUGCAUAGCUAAAUAGAUUGUCGGAUCUUUGAAUAUAAAAAAUCUCGCCGAGACCUUAUGGUUUUGAUAAAUUUGAGAUUUUUCUUGUUAUUUUUGGGAAUCCGUUGGCUGGUUUCACUGAUCUUUACGAACCGGUUGACUGGUUGAGCCAGAAACAACAUAGUUUGACCAUGUCGUAUUUUUAAAACAUGACAUCGUCAAACUAUGUUAUUUUGUCAAAUUUUUUUGCUUCUAUAUAAUUCGUUAAUUUUUUUAAUUUUGUGUUCUAAUUGCACAAUUUAUCCCUUUUUUCUCAUUUUUAAUUUUGUGUUCCAAUUGCACAAUUUAUCCCUUUUUUCUCAUUACAAAUGGGUUGUUUUUUCAUUGGAAAAUUUACUUUUAAGAAUGAACAUAAAGUAUGUUUGUCUUCUUCUUCUUUCAAAAAACGUUUUUAAAGAUUUUAAAUUUUUUUUUCUUUAAAUUAAAUUUUUUUUAAUCAAUUUGAAAAUGAGCAAUCAUUUUUUUUUAUGUUUUUUAGUAGGUUAAAACAUCGUUUCCAAACAAGCCCUCGCCGUCUUUACUCAAAACAAAAGGGAUGUUUAACAACUAUGCUUGCAACAAAGCAGAGGACAAACCAUGCAUACAAUUUCUUCUUUCAAGAUUCUUUUCUUUUUUUAUUACAUGCGAGUAAUUCGUAGAAGAUCAUACACUGUCAAACACUCAAGACUUUCCUUGACCUCAAGUAACUGAACACCUUUUCUACGCAGAUGAGAGUUGCAUGUGAUUUCAAGGAACAGUAUUAAGCUAAGAUUUCAGCAAAGCGGGGAAACUUGCUCAAAGCAGUAGCAUUCACAACAGGGGUUGAAAUGGCUUUCAUACCUCUUUGAAAAACUGCAGUGCCAUGGACUUCAUGCUGCCCCUUCAUCGAGAACACAUGCUCGCGCCGGUUCUUUGGUCGUGCUCGAUAAAAUCUAGUGCAUCUUCCUUGGAGACAACAUUGACACGGCUCACCCUGUUUUUGUGUGUCACCACAUAUAACUUGUCAGCAACCUUCACAAGUUCUGGCCUGAAAGUGGUGGUUAUAAAUUGUGUGUUUGCCAUAUCAGCCAGGCGACGAAUCAUGUCUAGCGAACAAAGUAAUUAAGGAUCACCUCCAAUGGUUACAUCUGAUUAAUAAACAAUAGCUAAAUACAAUACAGGGCACACAUAACUACACACCAACAGCACUUUAGAUUUUCUGUAUCCACAUUUCUGCAGAAAAAUAAACGCAGACCUUCACUUUCACACCUAUGUAUUUCUCAACCCUUCCCUCCAAAUCUGCCUCACGAGGUCCGUCAUCAUCAUAAUCAUCAUCCCCAUGAUCACCUUCAUGUCAAGAUACCAUAGAUGUAAGCCAUGACAUUUUUAAAAUGCACUCCUACAGCAUCAAAAUCAAGAAGAAUACUGAUUAAGCUUGGAAAACAAUAAAAAACACAAAUGAAAAAUGAUUUUUAUUUAAAAUUUUUUAAAAUCAACUAAAUAAAUCAGUAAUAAAACAAUUAAUUAAUCAAUCAAACCCAAAGUAAAAUCUUCAAAACUCUAAUCUUCAACAAAACAAAAAAUCAAAGCUAAAUAACAUAAUUAUACAUAACAAUCUCAUAUUUUAAACUUAUUUUCUUUACCUAUCUUCUGAUUCCUUUAUCUCUUUCCCUCUUCUCUAUUCUUCUUUCUCCCUUUUCUUCUCUCGUGCCUGUUCUCUUUCUCUCAAAUUAGAUUUUCCUCUUUUUAUUUUUUUUAUUCUAUUUAUAUUUGUCAAGCUUUAUUCAAUUAUAACAAUACAUCUUAUUUAUUUAUACCUAUAUUUAAGCCUCCAAGUGCCUUUUCCAAUUUAUUUUUCCAAAACAUCACAAUUAAAAUUACGUAGGUGUUGUAACGGUGUUAGAAUGCAGAUUUAUUUAUUAAAUUUCAACUGCUCUAUUUUAAGGCAAUAAUUGAAGUCAAAACCCUAAACUUAUUCUAACAGUAGACGUUGCGAAAUUCUUGUUCAGAGAAAACAAGCCAUGAGAUUGUAUUUUCCUGAUAGAUACAUAAUUAAUUCCGCUAAAAAAUGAUGGGUGAGACUGCUGCAAACAGUGUUGCUUUUGCUUUUGAUAUUCUCUACUUCUUCUCUAUGUGAUUUUUGAUUUGUGCAACUGUUGGAUUGUCUAACAGAGUUGGCACUUCAUAUACUCGUUCAAUUGCUUCCCAUAGAUCAUUAGCAUAGAUCAUUAACAUCAAGAUAGGCUUCAAUUCUAACAGCCCAUACUUGAUAAUUGAUCCCAUCAAAUAUUGGAGGUGCAACUGUAGUAAAUGGCAUUUUUAAGUUCAUACUGGAUGUGUUGUGUUUAGAUGAAAAGUAUUUGAAGGUUGUGUUUAGGAUCUCUCAAUCUCACAAGGAUCUCUCAAUCUCACAAGUCCCUCAAUCUCACAAGUCCCUCAAGAAAAUUAACUCUGAUACCAAUUUGUUAUAUAUAUUGAAGAGAAAACAAAAUUUUGUUGUUGUAGUUGCAGCAGAACACAUUACUUUAUUGAUUUUCAAUACAAUUAUUUAUACAAUAAGAAAAAACAGAAUUGCAAGAUAUUUUCCUAGGAUAUCUGAUUUUCUGUUACAUGGAAUAAAAAUAGCCAUUAGACUAGCAACAAGAAACAAACUCUAAUACUGUAAACAAACUCACAUUCUGCUGAGAUUUUGUUUUGUUUCUAGAGUCAUUCUUGGUCAACACCAAGCAUGAAGUAUCUGACGAGUUAUCUAGGCUAACAGCACUUCAUGAAUGCUUGUGCGGUCAGAAAAAUAGUGGAGAUAUAAUCUUUGCCAGGCAAAUCAUCACUCUUCUCCAUGAGAAUGCAAGUCCUUGAAUAAGUGAACCAAAGAUGGGUUCCUUAUUGAAGUCCAGAAAUUCCGCUACAAUCACAAAGUUCAAUUAAAUGCUACGUUGAAGUCCAAAAUCAUGCUGAUCGCUUUAUUAUGAUCUUUAUAUCACAUCUCAGGAAUGGCAUUUCGGUCCAUGGUUCCACAAAAUCUACCAUGCAAGGUAAAUUAAUCGCUUUAUUAUGAUCUUUAUCCUGUAAACCCACAAUUUUUACUUUACAUGAUGAAAAAAGAAAGGAUAAAUCCAGAAACAUGUUGAGCUUGCAGGAUCCUGGAGACAAUAAUACUCAAUCACUACCAAUAAAGCUGCAACUUAAUCAAACAAACUAUUUAGUACACGCUUGACAACAAUUUCUUGGCCCUCCGAAAGUGCAGCAUGUUUCCUUGGCAAAUUCCAAUUUUAAAUGCUAUCGGUGUAGUUUUCAAUCUCCAAGGAUAUGACAGUUUGGGAUUGACUCGUGGGAGGACUUGCGUUGUUGCGGAAAGAUUGUGAUGAUUCGCCUAGCAAGUGCUCUGUCUCAUCGCUAUUUUGCUGGGCCCAUGAUUUCUGAUUAAGGGCUUUCAGCUUAGCAAGCUCCUCUGACACUUCCUUCAUGGAUGGGCGGUUUACUCCUGUGCUAUUCAGACAUCUUUUAGCAAGCUCUGCAACAGCUUCUAUCUCAUCCAUCUCAGCUUCAUCAGCUGCUUGGAAAUCCAAAAUCCCAAAAACAUCAUUAUUUUCCAAUGCUGAGUUGAAGUACUGAAUAAAGUUCCGUUUCUUUCCUGACUUGGCAUUUGAGUUUGGCUUCUCCCCUGUGAGAAGCUCCACAAGAACUACUCCAAAGCUAUAGACAUCACUUUUUUCAGUUAAAUUACCCG
This 18891-nucleotide long non-coding RNA is filed under the name Populus trichocarpa (black cottonwood). RNAcentral describes it as "long non-coding RNA (PTRI_LNC002383)". Lineage: Eukaryota; Viridiplantae; Streptophyta; Magnoliopsida; Malpighiales; Salicaceae. The record is from RNAcentral.